RNAcentral lists this ribosomal RNA (441 nucleotides) under uncultured bacterium. RNAcentral describes it as "partial 16S ribosomal RNA". It matches the Rfam family "Bacterial small subunit ribosomal RNA", at positions 338 to 795 of the family's 1533-position model. The record is from RNAcentral.
CCUACGGGUGGCAGCAGUGGGGAAUAUUGCACAAUGGGGGAAACCCUGAUGCAGCAACGCCGCGUGAAGGAAGACGGUUCUCGGAUUGUAAACUUCUGUUCUUAGUGAAGAAUAAUGACGGUAGCUAAGGAGCAAGCCACGGCUAACUACGUGCCAGAAGCCGCGGUAAUACGGAGGUGGCAAGCGUUGUCCGGAUUUGCUGGGGGUAAAGGGCGUGUAGCCGGGUUGACAAGUCAGAUGUGAAAUCCUGCGGCGUAACCGCAGAACUGCAUUUGAAACUGUUAGUCUUGAGUACUGGAGAGGCAGACGGAAUUCCUGGUGUAGCGGUGAAAUGCGUAGAUAUUAGGAAGAACACCGGUUGCGAAGGCAGUCUGCUGGACAGCCACUGACGGUGAGGCGCGAAAGCGUGGGGAGCAAACAGGAUUAGAUACCCCUGUAGUC